RNAcentral lists this transfer RNA (79 nucleotides) under Banisteriopsis caapi. RNAcentral describes it as "tRNA-Leu". It matches the Rfam family "tRNA". Rfam says of the family: Transfer RNA (tRNA) molecules are approximately 80 nucleotides in length. Their secondary structure includes four short double-helical elements and three loops (D, anti-codon, and T loops). The record is from RNAcentral. Lineage: Eukaryota; Viridiplantae; Streptophyta; Magnoliopsida; Malpighiales; Malpighiaceae.
CCGCUAUGGUGAAAUCGGUAGACACGCUGCUCUUAGGAAGCAGUGCUAAAGCAUCUCGGUUCGAGUCCGAGUGGCGGCA